This 465-nucleotide long non-coding RNA is filed under the name Setaria italica (foxtail millet). RNAcentral's name for it is "long non-coding RNA (SITA_LNC001016)". The record is from RNAcentral. Lineage: Eukaryota; Viridiplantae; Streptophyta; Magnoliopsida; Poales; Poaceae.
CGGGUAUGAAAUCCCGCCCUUCUUUGAUUUGAGGUAAGAGCGGAGCAGCGGGGACGGAGUUAUGAACCUGGCCCUGUGAAUUAGAUUCACAAGUGGUCACGGAUCGCUCUUCCGACGCAGGGCUUUCCCCCACGCCCAUUCCCAGAGUCGCACUGUGGGCUCCCUUAAAUGUGGACUGUACUAGCAAAGCCAACCAUAGCGCGAGUGCCCCAGCGAGCUCCGAAAAGAGCUCCGCGAUUCUAUUAAACGGACUCCAGAAAUGUAGCUGUUGGCUAAAGUCAUGUAUGGAAAAGAAAUCAAAUAGAAUGUAUUGCUUUCUCUAUGCCCAAGAAAGGGAAAAGGAGCAUAUAGGUACGGCUUUUGACUACAAAGCAAUGCAAAGUCUUUAGUAGAAAGAGGAGCUGAAAGAACUCUUAUUAGGCUUGCUUGUGAUUCAGAACCAGCAUGGAAAGAGUUUUCAAAAUA